Molecule: long non-coding RNA, 1323 nt
Organism: Carassius auratus (goldfish)
Lineage: Eukaryota; Metazoa; Chordata; Actinopteri; Cypriniformes; Cyprinidae
Exons: 5
Source: RefSeq, a predicted model, not a curated record
CAUGCAGGAUUCUUGCUCUAUGUCUGGUCCACCCUUUUUCUGGCUGUGGUGCCUCCAUUGUCCUAACACUCUUCAGCAACCUGUCAAGAUCUUUAUAUGGUGGCCACCAGGACUUGGCAGCUGGUCCAGUCGUCCCUUCUCCCUCAAACUCCACGAUUAGAAAUCAACUGUUGUUGAGAGGUCAUCCACUAAAUGAAUGCCAAGUGUAGAGGAUGGCAGUGGAUAGUCAAAAAAGGAUUCCUGGUGGUUGAAGAGUGUGUUGGCUUGUUCUCAACUCUUUAUAUUGUGCAUCAUGGAAGGAUGCAGGAUGCAGGAAGAGGACCAGUCGCAUGUGGUUUUUUGAGCAGAUGUGGCCUGGUUUUGCAUUUCUGAGAGUCUUUUUAUUAUUUGACUGAGUGGGCAUGUUGGUUUCCUCAGAAGUCUUUUGAGUUUGUUUAGGUGAUUCUCAUACUUGAAAGCAGUUGUCAAGGACACCAUGCUUUUUCGCAUCAUCUGCAAGAUGUACAAGGCAGAGUGCAUUGUAGGACAAGAAUUGUGGACCAUACAGUUGACCAAAGUGAGAGACAACGAGCACCACCUACAAGUCAGAGGACCCAUCUUCAGCCACAAGAGAAGAAGCUGUCUCAUGAUGGUGCAUGUAGUCGAGGGGGAAACCAGAGACCAUGUUUAGGGAUGUUUCUUCAAGAGUGUCUCUAGGAUGGGCCAGAACUGUGUUGCUGAGCUCUUAUAGAGUGGCAAACCAUCAAUGCUGACCUGAAGCUCAAAACGUGUGAAUGUUGCGCAGAAUGUCAACAAAUGUUGAGCAAUGAAUUCAAUGCCACAUGUGUAAUUUUGUGUUCAGUAGCCCAGGAUGCCAAAUCAUCAUCUAAUGAAUUUGGAUCUGAUUCUGAUUCUGUGUCUGAUUCACUGUCAUCAGGAACACAUCUUCAGUCUCAUCAACAUGAGAGAGACAGUCCAUGAAUGUAUCUUCAUCAUCAUUUUGACCUUGAAUGGUUUUACUGUGCAUCCAACCCAAUUCUUUCCCCCAAGUUGUUGCCUGUAUUGUCUGCAGUUGCUGAUCCACCUUGUCCUUUGCUUUCCGUCUCAGUGUCCAAUAGGAUGGUUCAUUUGAAGCCAUAGUAUUAAGACCUUAAUACAAACAACCCUAUUUUUUGUUUUUUGUUUACUGGCCUACCAAGUCAUAUGCAUGAACAUAAUGUACAUACCUUUAGUUGGUUGACGGAUGGUAAUGGAUAACUUUCUGUAGUCAAAUUAAACAAAGGAAAUAGUUAAAUGCAAAAAUUUAAAAUAACUACAUAAAAAAUAAACAAUUACAUAUCUAAA